Molecule: ribosomal RNA, 253 nt
Filed under: uncultured bacterium
Lineage: Bacteria
Description: partial 16S ribosomal RNA
Rfam family: Bacterial small subunit ribosomal RNA
Source: RNAcentral
UACGUAGGGUGCGAGCGUUGUCCGGAAUUAUUGGGCGUAAAGAGCUUGUAGGCGGUUUGUCGCGUCUGCUGUGAAAAUCCGGGGCUCAACCCCGGACUUGCAGUGGAUACUGGCAGGCUAGAGUGCGGUAGAGGAUGGCGGAAUUCCCGGUGUAGCAGUGGAAUGCGUAGAGAUCCGGAAGAACACCGGUGGCGAAGGCGGCCCGCUGGGCAACUGCUGACACUGAGGCGCGACAGCGUGGGGAGCAAACAGG